This 1301-nucleotide long non-coding RNA is filed under the name Citrus x clementina. Its description in RNAcentral is "Citrus clementina (C. clementina) long non-coding RNA (CCLE_LNC002549)". Lineage: Eukaryota; Viridiplantae; Streptophyta; Magnoliopsida; Sapindales; Rutaceae. The record is from RNAcentral.
AUUUGUAAUUGUUUUUGUAUUUUUCAUCAACAUUAAUAAUCUUUUUAAUUAAUUGAUUCUCUUUUUAUCAUAAUAAUGUUAAUUAUCAUUGUAAUUUAGUGUUAAACAUGAUAAUAUUUUAACAGUAGUAAUAGUAAUUAAAUGUUAGAAAAAUGAUGUCUUUUAAUGACUGAAAUAUUAUUCAUCGCUAAAAUUAGUUUUACUGAUAGAAUGUUAUUUGUCGCUAAAAGUAUUUUUAGUGAUGAAAUAUUAUUUGUUAUUCCGCUGGUAAAAUUUAUAUUCACGACACAUAAAUUAAUGAAUAGUUUAUUCUUUUAGUGAUGAUUGUAUUCAUCGCUAAGAAAGAGACCUUUAGUGGCGUGUUUUCUUACUUUUAGCAACAAAAUAUUCUUUUUGUUAUGAAUCUAGUGUCAAAUUUUUGGUUGCCUUUAUCAUUUUUUGCGACGAAAGUAAUUUAUUCGCUGGAUGUUUUAGUGACGAAAUUUGAAAAUUCAUUGCCAAAAACUUAAUGCGAUGCACAUAUUAUGAUGAAAUCCUUAUGAAAAUUGCAUGUUUUACUAAUGAUUAUUUUCAUCAUUAAAGCCCUUUUUUAUUGCAGUGAUUAUAAUGGUGUUAACUCCAUUAAUCAUUGUAAUAUUAUACCUUUAUUUUAGCAAUUCUUACCUUAAUAAUUUUGUUAGGAAUCCUAAUUCUCUCAAAAUUAAGGAAUCAUGAUUCCAUUAUAACCAUAGCUAAUACCAAUAUGAGUAAUGAUAUAGUCACAAACUCUUGUACAAACUUAUUUUGUACAAACUGAUAUGGCAUGAUAAGAUUGGUUGAAUUAAAUAUCACUUGGCCCACAUGAUUUAUUUUUAUUAUUUUAUAUUUUUAUUCAGCCAAUGCAUUAAUGACAUAUCAGUUUGUACAAAAUAAGUUUGUACAAGAGUUUGUGGCUGUAUCAUCACUCUACCAAUAUUAUGUAAAUAUUGACAUUCCCUCACUGUAUGGCAAAUGUUAUGGAUAAUGAUUAGACCUCCCAUGGUACCAAACCGAUGGUGGUCUCAGUCGAUGAAAAAUAUGGCUUAGUGGCAGCAAUGGCGGUGGUUUAUGUGUUGUCUAGGGUUUGGCUUAUUUGUUUUGUUGUUUGCGAUUGGACUUGUAUCCGUCAUUUUGGAUUUCAUGUGCUCAGUGUUUGGUUGAUAGGAAAAUAAUUUAAACGUGAGAAAGAAUUUUAGAAUUUCAUUAUAGUAUUAUGAACAAAAUCUUAUAAUAAAAGAAUAAGACCAUGAGGGUAAACAUCAUAACUUAACUAUAUAUUUUUA